RNAcentral lists this long non-coding RNA (1333 nucleotides) under Prunus dulcis (almond). Its description in RNAcentral is "sRNA ncRNA". Lineage: Eukaryota; Viridiplantae; Streptophyta; Magnoliopsida; Rosales; Rosaceae. The record is from RNAcentral.
UUCCCACUCACCCCAUAUUUGCAGCAAAGCAAACAGAACCCAAAAACCCAAAGCCGACCGAGUUCGCAUUUUCCAUCGCUUUCCAGCAAAAUGUCAGCCGGACUGGGAAAAUGUAGCAAGAUCCGCCACAUUGUGAGGCUCCGCCAACUGCUGCGGCGGUGGCGCAGCAAGGCCCGCAUGUCAGCCAAUCGCAUACCGUCGGAUGUUCCCGCAGGACACGUGGCCGUCAGCGUGGGCAGCAGUUGCACCAGAUUUGUGGUGCGCGCGUCGUACCUGAACCACCCCGUCUUCAAGAAGCUCCUUGUAGAGGCCGAGGAGGAGUACGGCUUCUCCAACCAAGGCCCGCUCGCGAUACCCUGCGACGAGUCACUCUUCGAAGAGGUGCUCCGAUUCAUUUCUCGAUCCGAGUCGGGUGGGUCGACCCGGUUCGUCAAUCUAGACGACUUCCAAAGAUACUGCCACGCGGGCAUCCGGAGUAACCUCGAUUUCUGGGCCGAUUCUCGACCGUUGCUUCGUGGAUUUUCAGAUAAAACAAUUUGGUAAGCAAAGCGGAAAACCAAGUGCGUUUAGUUGGUAAUUUUAUUUUGGUUUCUGAAAAUAAAAGAGGAUAUGUACAAAAACACGCUUCGGUUGUCUCACCCGGGUGGACUCAGUCCGAGUUAUAUCGCUCUCCAUGGCUAGCAGCCAGCCAUCAGUUGAUUGAAGAGAGUAAACUGUUAAUGAUAUGACACAAAGAGUUCGAGCCUAAAAUGGGGCUCGGAUGGAUUAACCCAGUUGGGUGUACUUAGUGAUUGACGAUGGGGCCUUUUUGUUUUUGUUUUUUUUCCUUGAAAGUAAUAUGAUUAUUGGGCACUGAGUAAGAGUACAUGAAACUUCGAAGAAUGCUAUGGAGAUGGCAAAUGGGUGGGGGAGUGAUCCACCGCGUCGUCCCGGGUUCGAAUCGGAGUGGAGGCAGAGAAGCGAGCUGCUCCUGCUGCUGCUGAGGAGAAAGAUGAACAAACAAAACAAAAUUACUGAAUAUUAUUGGGUCUCGAUUUUCCUUGUAAAUUCUGUGAUUUAUUGAUUAAUUAAGGAUAAAUUGUAGAGAAAUUUUAUUAUGAUUGUUCACUAUGGCUACAUAUAAUAUUGACAACUAACCGUUUGUUGGUUGUGUAGCUUUUGUUAUGCCUUUUAGUUUUAUAUGAAUUUCAAUCAUGGGAGUGGGAGACGAGACGUUGUGGAAAUUAUAGUGGCGCCAAUCCACGUGAAACCAAAGCCAGAGUGUCCCUGUUUCCUUCGCUUCACCUCCUGCUUCAAUCUUGUCUUUUUUUUUUAACCAACAAAUUAUUGUGUG